Molecule: ribosomal RNA, 253 nt
Filed under: uncultured bacterium
Lineage: Bacteria
Description: partial 16S ribosomal RNA
Rfam family: Bacterial small subunit ribosomal RNA
Source: RNAcentral
UACGGAGGGGGCUAGCGUUGUUCGGAAUUACUGGGCGUAAAGCGCACGUAGGCGGAUUUGCCAGUCAGGGGUGAAAUCCCGGGGCUCAACCUCGGAACUGCCUCUGAUACAGCAAGUCUUGAGUCCGGAAGAGGUGGGUGGAAUUCCUAGUGUAGAGGUGAAAUUCGUAGAUAUUAGGAGGAACACCAGUGGCGAAGGCGGCCCACUGGUCCGGUACUGACGCUGAGGUGCGAAAGCGUGGGGAGCAAACAGG